Molecule: ribosomal RNA, 490 nt
Filed under: uncultured Desulfuromonas sp.
Lineage: Bacteria; Pseudomonadati; Thermodesulfobacteriota; Desulfuromonadia; Desulfuromonadales; Desulfuromonadaceae
Description: bacterial SSU rRNA
Rfam family: Bacterial small subunit ribosomal RNA
Source: RNAcentral
GCUCAGAAACUCAAGGAAUUGACGGGGCCCGCACAAGCGGUGGAGCAUGUGGUUAAUUCGACGCAACGCGCAGAACCUUACCUGGGCUUGACAUCCCGAUCGCACUUUCUGGAAACAGAGAGGUCAGUUCGGCUGGAUCGGUGACAGGUGCUGCAUGGCUGUCGUCAGCUCGUGUCGUGAGAUAUUGGGUUAAGUCCCGCAACGAGCGCAACCCUCGUCCUUAGUUGCCAGCAUUAAGUUGGGCACUCUAAGGAGACUGCCGGUGUUAAACCGGAGGAAGGCGGGGAUGACGUCAAGUCCUCAUGGCCCUUAUGUCCAGGGCUACACACGUGCUACAAUGGCCGGUACAAAGGGUAGCAAGACCGCGAGGUGGAGCCAAUCCCAAAAAGCCGGUCUCAGUUCGGAUUGGAGUCUGCAACUCGACUCCAUGAAGUUGGAAUCGCUAGUAAUCGUGGAUCAGCAUGCCACGGUGAAUACGUUCCCGGGCCUU